AUGGAGGCGUUCGAGUCGCGAGUGAUGAAGAAGAUGGAAGUCCUGGCAGGUUUGGGGGACAAAAUCAACCGGAUAGAUGAGCUCUUCACCAGGAUUGAUGAGUUGGAUCAGAAGUUCAACACUCAGGUGGAACGCAUCGAUGUGAUUCAGAGUAACGUGAACCUGACAAUGAAGUCAAUUGGCGAGGUGCGACAGGAACAAGUGGCGGCCGCGAAGGAUCAGAUGUCCAAGCAUUCGCCGUCCGGAUCAUCACCCUCAACCAAUGACAGCAUAAUGGGUACUCCUCCUAUCGUAAAUUCCCUGAACAAAACACAUCCACUUAACCCUCCUGCACCUACGGAGCAACAACGUCAGCAAUCAAAUUUGGAGAAGCAAAAAGUAGCAUUUGUAGCCUCUUGUGAAGAGCAACAUCCACGUCGACCUUGGAUGCCCAAAAUGGAUUUUCCCCGUUUUGAUGGUAGUGAUGUACGCAUAUGGCUCGACGGAUGUGAAGCUUAUUUUUCCUUGUACGAGAUUCCUGAAUUCUUCAGAGUUACUUCUGCUACAUUGCACAUGUGUGGCGAUGCGGCCAAUUGGUUUCAUGCGUAUAAACUGACUCAACAGUGGCCUAAUUGGCAUGAGUUUCGCUCUGCUGUGAUGUCAGAGUUCGAUGUCAACGUGCACAGACACAAAAUGGAAGAGUUGAUGAUGCUAAAAUAG
Molecule: ribosomal RNA, 699 nt
Filed under: Triticum aestivum (bread wheat)
Lineage: Eukaryota; Viridiplantae; Streptophyta; Magnoliopsida; Poales; Poaceae
Description: partial small subunit ribosomal RNA
Source: RNAcentral